Molecule: ribosomal RNA, 900 nt
Filed under: uncultured bacterium
Lineage: Bacteria
Description: bacterial SSU rRNA
Rfam family: Bacterial small subunit ribosomal RNA
Source: RNAcentral
UAGAGUUUGAUCCUGGCUCAGGACGAACGCUGGCGGCGUGCUUAACACAUGCAAGUCGAGCGGUAAGGCUCCUUCGGGAGUACACGAGCGGCGAACGGGUGAGUAACACGUGAGCAAUCUGCCCUUCACUUCGGGAUAACUCCGGGAAACCGGUGCUAAUACCGAAUACGACCACUUCAGGCAUCUGAUGGUGGUGGAAAGUUCCGGCGGUGAAGGAUGAGCUCGCGGCCUAUCAGCUUGUUGGUGAGGUAAUGGCCCACCAAGGCAACGACGGGUAGCCGGCCUGAGAGGGUGACCGGCCACACUGGGACUGAGACACGGCCCAGACUCCUACGGGAGGCAGCAGUGGGGAAUAUUGGACAAUGGGCGAAAGCCUGAUCCAGCAACGCCGCGUGAGGGAUGACGGCCUUCGGGUUGUAAACCUCUUUCAGCGGGGACGAAGCGCAAGUGACGGUACCUGCAGAAGAAGCGCCGGCUAACUACGUGCCAGCAGCCGCGGUAAUACGUAGGGCGCGAGCGUUGUCCGGAAUUAUUGGGCGUAAAGAGCUUGUAGGCGGUUUGUUGCGUCUGCUGUGAAAGACCGGGGCUUAACCCCGGUAUUGCAGUGGGUACGGGCAGACUAGAGUGCAGUAGGGGGAGACUGGAAUUCCUGGUGUAGCGGUGAAAUGCGCAGAUAUCAGGAGGAACCACCGAUGGCGAAGGCAGGUCUCUGGGCUGUAACUGACGCUGAGAAGCGAAAGCAUGGGGAGCGAACAGGAUUAGAUACCCUGGUAGUCCAUGCCGUAAACGUUGGGCACUAGGUGUGGGGGACAUUCCACGUUUUCCGCGCCGUAGCUAACGCAUUAAGUGCCCCGCCUGGGGAGUACGGCCGCAAGGCUAAAACUCAAAGGAAUUGACGGG